This 250-nucleotide unclassified non-coding RNA is filed under the name uncultured Sordariales. RNAcentral's name for it is "sequence contains 5.8S rRNA gene, ITS2, 28S rRNA gene". The record is from RNAcentral. Lineage: Eukaryota; Fungi; Ascomycota; Sordariomycetes; Sordariales.
AACGCACAUUGCGCCCGCUAGUAUUCUGGCGGGCAUGCCUGUUCGAGCGUCAUUUCAACCAUCAAGCCCCUGGGCUUGCGUUGGGGCCCUGCGGCUGCCGCAGGCCCUUAAAUGCAGUGGCGGGCUCGCCGUCGCACCGAGCGCAGUAGCAUACCUCUCGCUCCGGGCGUGGCGGCGGGCGCCGGCCGUGAAACCCUACUAAACUUCAAAGGUUGACCUCGGAUCAGGUAGGAAUACCCGCUGAACUUAA